AUGUCGGACGCCAAAACAAAUGACGCCCAGGCCGGCUAUGAAUCGGCCAUCAGCAGUCUGCUGACCGCGCUGGCCGGUGGCAAUUUUAUUCAUGACGCCG
RNAcentral lists this non-coding RNA (100 nucleotides) under uncultured Desulfobacteraceae bacterium. RNAcentral's name for it is "PYLIS_3". It matches the Rfam family "Pyrrolysine insertion sequence mttB". The record is from RNAcentral. Lineage: Bacteria; Pseudomonadati; Thermodesulfobacteriota; Desulfobacteria; Desulfobacterales; Desulfobacteraceae.